CCAAAGUGCAAAUUUGGAAACGCACCCCAAACGGUGCCGGGGCUUCUCCCGUUU
This 54-nucleotide transfer RNA is filed under the name Cnemaspis limi. RNAcentral's name for it is "partial tRNA-Cys". The record is from RNAcentral. Lineage: Eukaryota; Metazoa; Chordata; Lepidosauria; Squamata; Gekkonidae.